This 84-nucleotide small nucleolar RNA is filed under the name Nelumbo nucifera (sacred lotus). RNAcentral's name for it is "Small nucleolar RNA U31b". It matches the Rfam family "Small nucleolar RNA U31b". The record is from Rfam by way of RNAcentral. Lineage: Eukaryota; Viridiplantae; Streptophyta; Magnoliopsida; Proteales; Nelumbonaceae.
GAAGAUGAUGAUAGGUUUUGUCGCCCCAGUCUUACAAGCAUCUCUUGAUGCGACAUGGUGAUCGACAAAUUCUAUAUCUGAUUC